This is a long non-coding RNA of Mauremys mutica (yellowpond turtle), 303 nucleotides long. RefSeq lists it as uncharacterized. The record is from RefSeq and is a predicted model, not a curated record. The transcript is spliced from 3 exons. Lineage: Eukaryota; Metazoa; Chordata; Testudines; Geoemydidae.
CUACGCGCUAGGAGUCAGCCAAGCUGAGACACUACCUGGGACCCCGACAGAUGACGCCACAGGGGAGAAACAGACCAGAGGACCCCCUGCCCCAGAUGAACUGGUAUUCACGCUGUUUCCACACAUACUUCCACUUUCUGGGGAUGCCACCCCACCAAAACUCCUCUAUAAAGCCACUCCAUCAAACGUCGCUUCUGAUGCAAGUGGUCAACCACCUAAUGAGGGCCAGACGGAGGAGCAGUCAGAAAGAUUUCCCCAGAAGCAGCUGAUUCCUGAGCUCCCCAUCUGGCCCAGUGCAGAGAG